UGGGGAAUAUUGCGCAAUGGGGGGAACCCUGACGCAGCCAUGCCGCGUGAAUGAAGAAGGCCUUCGGGUUGUAAAGUUCUUUCGGUAUUGAGGAAGGUUGAUGUGUUAAUAGCACAUCAAAUUGACGUUAAAUACAGAAGAAGCACCGGCCAACUCCGUGCCAGCAGCCGCGGUAAUACGGAGGGUGCGAGCGUUAAUCGGAAUAACUAGGCGUAAAGGGCACGCAGGCGGUUAUUUAAGUGAGGUGUGAAAGCCCCGGGCUUAACCUGGGAAUUGCAUUUCAGACUGGGUAACUAGAGUACUUUAGGGAGGGGUAGAAUUCCACGUGUAGCGGUGAAAUGCGUAGAGAUGUGGAGGAAUACCGAAGGCGAAGGCAGCCCCUUGGGAAUGUACUGACGCUCAUGUGCGAAAGCGUGGGGAGCAAACAGGAUUAGAUACCCUGGUAGUCCAUGCUGUAAACGCUGUCGAUUUGGGGGUUGGGGUUUAACUCUGGCGCCCGUAGCUAACGUGAUAAAUCGACCGCCUGGGGAGUACGGCCGCAAGGUUA
This 547-nucleotide ribosomal RNA is filed under the name uncultured bacterium. Its description in RNAcentral is "bacterial SSU rRNA". It matches the Rfam family "Bacterial small subunit ribosomal RNA", at positions 355 to 896 of the family's 1533-position model. The record is from RNAcentral.